This 539-nucleotide ribosomal RNA is filed under the name Salmonella enterica subsp. enterica serovar Agona. Its description in RNAcentral is "partial 23S ribosomal RNA". It matches the Rfam family "Bacterial large subunit ribosomal RNA", at positions 361 to 905 of the family's 2925-position model. The record is from RNAcentral. Lineage: Bacteria; Pseudomonadati; Pseudomonadota; Gammaproteobacteria; Enterobacterales; Enterobacteriaceae.
AGGGUGACAGCCCCGUACACAAAAGCGUAUGUGCUGUGAGCUCGAUGAGUAGGGCGGGACACGUGGUAUCCUGUCUGAAUAUGGGGGGACCAUCCUCCAAGGCUAAAUACUCCUGACUGACCGAUAGUGAACCAGUACCGUGAGGGAAAGGCGAAAAGAACCCCGGCGAGGGGAGUGAAAAAGAACCUGAAACCGUGUACGUACAAGCAGUGGGAGCACCCUUUGGGGUGUGACUGCGUACCUUUUGUAUAAUGGGUCAGCGACUUAUAUUCUGUAGCAAGGUUAACCGAAUAGGGGAGCCGGAGGGAAACCGAGUCUUAAUUGGGCGUUAAGUUGCAGGGUAUAGACCCGAAACCCGGUGAUCUAGCCAUGGGCAGGUUGAAGGUUGGGUAACACUAACUGGAGGACCGAACCGACUAAUGUUGAAAAAUUAGCGGAUGACCUGUGGCUGGGGGUGAAAGGCCAAUCAAACCGGGAGAUAGCUGGUUCUCCCCGAAAGCUAUUUAGGUAGCGCCUCGUGAAUUCAUCUCCGGGGGUAG